UGGGGAAUAUUGGACAAUGGGGGCAACCCUGAUCCAGCAAUGCCGCGUGGGUGAUGAAGGCCUUCGGGUUGUAAAGCCCUUUCGGCGGGGAAGAUGAUGACGGUACCCGCAGAAGAAGCCCCGGCUAACUUCGUGCCAGCAACCGCGGUAAUACGAAGGGGGCUAGCGUUGUUCGGAAUUACUGGGCGUAAAGGGCGCGUAGGCUGUGCUGUAAGUCAGGCGUGAAAGGCCCGGGCUCAACCUGGGAACUGCGUUUGAUACUGCGGCGCUGGAAUGCAGGAGAGGAUGGCGGAAUUCCCAGUGUAGAGGUGAAAUUCGUAGAUAUUGGGAAGAACACCGGUGGCGAAGGCGGCCAUCUGGCCUGCAAUUGACGCUGAGGCGCGAAAGCGUGGGGAGCAAAC
RNAcentral lists this ribosomal RNA (401 nucleotides) under uncultured bacterium. RNAcentral's name for it is "bacterial SSU rRNA". It matches the Rfam family "Bacterial small subunit ribosomal RNA", at positions 355 to 773 of the family's 1533-position model. The record is from RNAcentral.